CCUACGGUGUGCAGCAGUGAGGAAUAUUGGUCAAUGGCCGGAAGGCUGAACCAGCCAAGCCGCGUGAGGGAGGAAGGCGCAGAGCGUCGCAGACCUCUUUUGCCGGGGGACAAAAGGCCGGACUCGUCCGGUCCUGAGGGUACCCGGAGAAAAAGCAUCGGCUAACUCCGUGCCAGCAGCCGCGGUAAUACGGAGGAUGCGAGCGUUAUCCGGAUUCAUUGGGUUUAAAGGGUGCGUAGGCGGUUUGAUAAGUUAGAGGUGAAAUACCGGUGCUCAACACCGGAACUGCCUCUAAUACUGUUGAACUAGAGAGUAGUUGCGGUAGGCGGAAUGUAUGGUGUAGCGGUGAAAUGCUUAGAGAUCAUACAGAACACCGAUUGCGAAGGCAGCUUACCAAACUAUAUCUGACGUUGAGGCACGAAAGCGUGGGUAGCAAACAGGAUUAGAUACCCGGGUAGUC
Molecule: ribosomal RNA, 460 nt
Filed under: uncultured bacterium
Lineage: Bacteria
Description: partial 16S ribosomal RNA
Rfam family: Bacterial small subunit ribosomal RNA
Source: RNAcentral